CAGGUUCCGGAGCAAUCCGGAUUAAAAGGGAAACAGGUGUGAAUCCUGUACAGUCCCGCUGCUGUAACUCCUGAAAAGAGACCGGCGCACAAAGUCACUGGGCGUAGAUGCUUGGGAAGGCGCGCCGGUCGGGAGAAGUCAGAAGACCUGCCUGCCGU
RNAcentral lists this non-coding RNA (158 nucleotides) under human gut metagenome. The record is from RNAcentral.